RNAcentral lists this transfer-messenger RNA (97 nucleotides) under Betaproteobacteria bacterium HGW-Betaproteobacteria-21. Its description in RNAcentral is "partial transfer-messenger RNA". It matches the Rfam family "transfer-messenger RNA", at positions 277 to 374 of the family's 374-position model. Rfam says of the family: Bacterial tmRNA, also known as 10Sa RNA or SsrA, is named for its dual tRNA and mRNA-like properties. Lineage: Bacteria; Pseudomonadati; Pseudomonadota; Betaproteobacteria. The record is from RNAcentral.
GCUAAGUCAGGGGUUAAAUCCAAAUAGGGCGGAUAAGUAUGUAGAUCUGUCUGUAGAGGACUUGCGGACGGGGGUUCGAUUCCCCCCGGCUCCACCA